AUGAACGUUGGCGGCGUGGAUUAGGCAUGCAAGUCGAGCGAGAACCGGUUUCGGCCGGGGACAGCGGCGAACGGCGUAGUAAUGCAUCGGAUCGUACCCUCUGGUCGGGGAUAGCUACGGGAAACUGUAGGUAAUACCCGAUAAUCUCUGUGGAGCAAAGGUGAGAUUCCGCCGGAGGAGCGGCUGAUGUGAUAUUAGCUAGUUGGUGGGGUAAUGGCCUACCAAGGCGAUGAUGUCUAGGGGGUGUGAGAGCAUGGCCCCCACGACCGGAACUGAGAUACUGUCCGGACACCUACGGGUGGCUGCAGUCGAGAAUCUUCCGCAAUGGACGAAAGUCUGACGGAGCGACGCCGCGUGCGGGAUGAAGGCCCUUGGGUUGUAAACCGCUGUCAGAGGGGAUGAAAUCGUCGGAGGUACUCCUCCGAUGUUGACAGAGCCUCAAAGGAAGCACGGGCUAAGUACGU
Molecule: ribosomal RNA, 464 nt
Filed under: uncultured bacterium
Lineage: Bacteria
Description: bacterial SSU rRNA
Rfam family: Bacterial small subunit ribosomal RNA
Source: RNAcentral